AACGCUAGCUACAGGCUUAACACAUGCAAGUCGAGGGGCAGCAUGGGCGGAGCUUGCUCCGCCUGAUGGCGACCGGCGCACGGGUGCGUAACGCGUGUCCAAUCUGCCCAUCGCCCGGGGACAGCCCUCUGAAAGGAGGAUUAAUACCCGAUGGCACACGCAGGCCGCAUGGCCGGCGUGUUAAAGAUUCAUCGGCGAUGGAUGAGGACGCGUACCAUUAGGUAGUUGGUGGGGCAACGGCCCACCAAGCCUUCGAUGGUUAGGGGUUCUGAGGGGAAGGUCCCCCACACUGGAACUGAGACACGGUCCAGACUCCUACGGGAGGCAGCAGUGAGGAAUAUUGGUCAAUGGGCGAGAGCCUGAACCAGCCAAGUAGCGUGAAGGAUGACUGCCCUAUGGGUUGUAAACUUCUUUUGUUCGGGAAUAAAAGACGCCACGUGUGGCGUUUUGUAUGUACCGUUUGAAUAAGCAUCGGCUAAUUCCGUGCCAGCAGCCGCGGUAAUACGGAAGAUGCGAGCGUUAUCCGGAUUUAUUGGGUUUAAAGGGAGCGUAGGCGGGCUUUUAAGUCAGCGGUCAAAGUGCGUGGCUCAACCACGUACCGCCGUUGAUACUGGAGGCCUUGAGUGCGCACAAGGUGGAUGGAAUUCGUGGUGUAGCGGUGAAAUGCUUAGAUAUCACGAAGAACUCCGAUUG
RNAcentral lists this ribosomal RNA (693 nucleotides) under uncultured bacterium. Its description in RNAcentral is "bacterial SSU rRNA". It matches the Rfam family "Bacterial small subunit ribosomal RNA", at positions 32 to 715 of the family's 1533-position model. The record is from RNAcentral.